GAAAAACGAUAUACUAGAUAAAAAUGUUGGAUUACAAUAGUGGAUAUUACAGGAGAAACAUCAUCCAGAUGCGAUGCAUAAUCUACCCAUUUUCUUGACAAAGAAACUUAAACUAAGCAUCCUUCAACAUUCCUACAACUUAAUUAAAACUAGUAAUCGAGGAACAACAUCUAACAUGAACGUCAACAUCACUACAACUAAAAGUGAAAGCAUCCAUCAUCAUCAUGAACCAGAACAUCAACAUCAUCAUUGAAGUGUACUUGCCACACACCUGCAUACUCAUCCAGUUAUCUCUUGAAUCUACAAACCAAAAAAAAAUAACUGUUAAAAUACAAUGCAUUAACACAAUGCUAGUAACAGAGGCAAGGUUUAGUCACAUACAAAGGUUGAAGUCCAUGCAAUCCGUGUUUUCUCUCCAUAUCGACAUGCACGGCCCAAAAGUAAUUCCUAAUUCCAGCACUGUCAAGUUUAAAAUUUAGGAUCACAACAUAUAAUUGUAGCAAGAACUACGCCAUAUUAUGGUUUUUCGGGCUCUUCAAUAAUACUUCAGUUUCUGCAUGUUGGAGAAACUCAAUGUUACCAUGGUCAUAAUUAGCCUCAACACCCAUGAAAAAAACAAAGGGAAAAUAGAGGAACAUAUGAAAUGAAUUUGAGCACUCUUACAGGUAGUUUGAUUCACCCUUACUGUCUACAUCAGACAUUUGUUGUUGUUGUUUUGGUCUGGACAACAUUGUGAUAGUAAAGAAGACGUAAUAAACAAAUAAAGAAGCUAGCACUGUAGUUUGAACAUAAUUUUGUACGUGAUUAUGAAAAAUACCAACUUGUUUGCACCAUAAUUUGGUUCUCCCUAUCGUGUGCCGACAUUAUGAAGCAAAGUUUCUUUGUUCUGAACAACAUUAUGGUAGCAAGACGACCCUCAGAGCAAGAUAUUUGGAACAUAUUGUAUAUGGUAAUGGAAAUAUACCUUAUAUGCAUGAAAAUAUAUUUCCCAUUGCCAUGCACUGAAAUUCGGAUCAAAAGUUUCUUGUUUCUCGACAACAUUUUGAUAUCAACAACUAAACACAUAAACAUGGAAACACUACCGCCAUUAAGAACCAUAGUUCUUUGUUCUAGGAUAACAUGAUAUACAUGAAGUUUUGGGUAUUAUAUAUUUAAUUGCAAACAGUAAGUAAUGAGCAAUAAACUUACCAUCUUCAUUUUCAUCCGCAUCAACAUCACACAAUAUGUGAAUAUUUAUUUGUCAUUAGUAGUUCUUUCAUGGACAUCAGAUGAUUCGACAUCUUUUUCAACAGAAUUAUGAUGUUCGAUUGGUUCUUCCAUCAUAUAUUCUUUAUUGGAUUCAACAACACUGAUUCUUGUCCGUGACAAAUCUGCUAAAACAUGACAAUGGCCAACGUUAAUUCAGGACAAAGUAGGUAUAAUCAGAUGAUACUCACAACCACUAGAACAAUAGACGAAAGGUGUAACAAGAUUAUCCACAAUUGCAAUAUAGCUCAAAGGAUUAGAUACUGCAUAAAUAGGAGCUGGUGGUACUGAUUAAGAUUGACCAUACUGAUAUCCUCACAGAUCGAGACUAUAUGGUGGCACUUGACCUUAUGAUAGCCAUCUCCUCAGAUGUGAACAUGACUACUUCAGAUUUUAGCUGAAACAAUCACAUAUUGGAGUAAAUAUUGUCGCUACAAUCAACUGAAUAAGCCUGAAAAUGUUUCUUACUUAAUCCUCACAGAAUAAAUGUAGCAACUCCGUAAUGAGUAGGAGCUGGUUUGUGUUAGUGAAGGGUGAACACUGAACAAAGAUAUGAAACCAUUACUCUGAAAUGUACUUUGCAUCGGAUCUAUUUGGUUUUAGUGGUUGCUAAUUCACUUACUAGCAUGUGCUACUAAAGAGCGAGUUCACUGACUGACUUCUUGACUACCGUACUCCUACACUGAAACCAAUCAUAUGAUACUCAUAACUCCAAGAACAAUAGACAACAGGUGUAAGCAAGACUGCCCACAUUUGGAAUUUAUAGCUCAAACCAUGAGAUAUUAAUGUGCUCACCACACCCUACAAUCAUUUAAUCUAUUCAUAGAUUUCUCAUCACUACUGAUCACUGUCCUAGCUGAAUAUGCAUUUAAUUAUAUAGCUCAAGUAACCUCUUACCACGAUUAGUACUAUCUAAUGGGCUAGUUUAUUCUUUUAAUUCGCAUCCAUCUUAUUUGAUUGUGCCUACGAAUUCUAAUUCUUGUAACUUUUCCCUUCAGAUCAACCCAGAUCGCAAACAUGAAUCCAGUCAUAUGAGAUUUAAAAUCAGGUGUGAUAAGUGUGUGUUUUGUGCUAAUUGUAUGAAUAUGCUUAAACACGAUCAGGGCUGCCGUAUUUAAUUAGUCUAAAUGUUAUGUGCAACAACAGACUAAUGCUUUUUCAUGUCUAAUGCGCCCACACUCCCUCUCGAUUCUCACAAGUAGUCAAAUCAAAUCUUAUAGUGUACAAGUCAAAGUCUCUUUCCCAAGCCCAACCCUGUAGUAAACUCCCACCACUGAUUCCCCUUCCCUAAGACAGCGAAACAUGCUAUACAGCAUAUAGCACACCCAGAUUCGAAAAAUUACAAUUCAAUCCGGGAGAGACACCAAAGAUAAGAAUUUGGAUAGGAUCCAUGGGAAGGGGUAAUCCCAACGCAAAGCAUAAGAUAUCUCAAUAAUAAACAAAGGUUGCUUUUGCGAUGAGUAAGCCGAACAUAUAAAUCAAUAUUAGAUUAAACUAGAAUCGUGAUCUCUGUGUAUAUAGAUUGGUGUGUGAAAAAAUAGUUGACAACCAAUACGGAGGGCAUGAAUUGUGGCAAUGAGAUUGGAUAAGGAGCAGGGUAUAGACAAGAUGAAUUCUCAGGAUUGUUGCCACGACCUACGAGACGGAUUUGUGUGGCAGGAAGAUGUUAAUUGAUUAAGAGCAUAGAUCAAUAAAGUAGGGAGCGAGAGAGGAUGUGUUAUGGGAGAGUACGUCUGGAAUUAACCUUGCUCACAUCAUGGUGCUGCCUCCGCCACCGGCCAUCGGGCAUGCGAUGAACCCAGUACGAGAUUAGGAAGGAAAUUGUGUUGAUAUGGGAGAGGUUUCCGAUUUUGCUGGCGCGGUUACCUCCUCGCGAGAUCUGAUGUUAGUCUACGUCCUUUUAAAAAAAACUGUUUGGUAAUGAAGCGCGCGUACUUAAGUUUUUCCAACCAGAUUAGCCGCAAUUGGCUGGAGAGAAUGGAGGGAAUGGAAAAAAUUGCACGGAACCAAAAAAAAUAGGAGGGGGUUGUCGAGUCAUGUCUGCUCUGGAACAAUUGAUCCACAUUUAUGCGUGUGCGCAGUUUCAAGAGAAGUUCGCACACGGAGAUGGGUUUUGUGAGACCGCAUAUAGUAGCAUGAUCCACAGUCCUUGAUGUAGCCCUUGCACGCAGCCGCCGCCCUUGCUGGAUGGAGCGCUGCACCCCCACCAUCCAACCUCCGACCACGGCUGGCCAUGAGGGCCACGAAUGCCGCCGCGCAGCAGGGGACGCCGCCCUGACUGCCGCACCCGUCAUCCACGCGCGCGAUGGCCCCUCCGCCUCACUGGGACUCCGCGGCUACCGCCCGCCCUGGCACUAAGGCACAGGACCCGCCGCCACCGCGGCCCUCCCCGGCGGCAGAGACAGACGGGGAAGGGGAGAAACUCUGUGGCGGCUAGGGUUUCGGGGCCCCUGGCGUCGCCCGAGGGGAGGCGACGCGAGUGGUACCUGGGACGCGGCUUCAUGGCUCCCCCUUUUUACUCGUAUAGGUAUAAUAGCCCUUUGUCCAUCAUUUUGCUAACAUGAUAAGGUUCUGUUUCCACAUCAUUCCAUUCUUAACCCAUAUCAAAAUUAUCUCAAGGCUUCAUCUUUAAAACAAUUGACCAUCCUGGAUAAACAUAGUCAUCUAAGUAGAACACUUGGACAUUUGGUCAACUUGAUUGGCAAAUACAAAAGGUUCAUCCUCUGCCUUUUUACCAGUGUAAAAGAUCCACAACUCCUAGCUAUUAAAGGAACCAAACAAUAGCAAUGGAGCCAUUCAUACAGGAAUGGCUCAAAUAACUGAAAGCAACCACUAUGGUUAUUAGUGGUAUGUGAUCGAACUGAUGCAUCAUUUUUCUUCUGUACCUCAAAGAACAAGGUUCGGGUGCCAUCAAUUAUCAUGUAUCCACAAAGAAACAGAACACGCUGCAAGACAAGAAUUCAAAUGGAAUGCACUAUGCUAAGCUUCAUGUUGCAUUUGAACUCCAAAUCACGAAAAGUCGACAUGGAACUAGCCCCACAUCAAGGAAUGAAAUCAACAGAUCAAUUGCUAGCUGCACUAAACUGAGAAGGAAGAAACGAACUAGGGAGAUUAGCACCACGCAGUCGUCGGCACUUAGCUAGCGCAUGAACCACCCAUUACACAAGAGAACGGCGUUCAUGUAAUCAUCUCUCAUCUUGUCCUUCUUAUUCAGAUUUGGAUAAAAAAAUCAACACUCGAUUCAGAGUACUACAUGAUAUAGAUUCUCAAAGUCGUCCUUUUGUUCAGCAGACUUCUGUUAUAUUUUGUAAAAACUCUUUUACAUACUCUUUAUAAGCAUAUAAUCUUUGCCUUAUGCUUACAAUUGAUGUGAUCCAUUCCUGGACAUAAAUCCGUUAUUACCUUAGAAGUGUAAUUGAUAUAUGUGUUCCUCUUUAUGUUGCAAAUUAGGGUCGUUAGUUUGAUUACGCUCACUUGUGUUGACUUACUCCCAUAUACUCCCUCCGUUCCUAAAUAUAAGUCUUUUAAGAGAUUUCACUAAAUGUCUACAUACGGAGCAAAAUGAAUGAAUCUAUAAUUUUAAAUAUGUCUAUAUACAUCUGUAUGUAGUCUAUUAGUGAAACCUCUAGAAAGACUUAUAUUUAGGAACGGAGGGAGUAUACACGUACUCUAUAUACUUAAACUAGAACUUUAACGUUAUUAGCUAAGCAAUGGAUAUGCCAAUAAGGGAUUAUAUUUAAAAAAAUUGUUUCUCUGAAUAUUUACAGUCCUGAGCUCUUGAGUAUUUUGGGAACUUCAACUAUAAUAUCUAAAAGAGUGGAUGUGCCUUGUUUACAUUAUAUUCCCUGCAUAUUUAUAUCAAAUAUUCCCUGUAAAUACUUAGAGAUGAAUGAUCACUCAGUGAGAUGCUUAACCUACAUUCCCUGGAUAUAUAAAGCUUUCCCUGUACAAACUGAAUCCAAAGAUGAAUGCUUACCUAGUGCAACAUUUGAACUGUAUUCCUGUACGAAUUCUAUUCAAUCCCGGACUAACCGAACAUCAAUGAAGUGUACAAGCAUUGGCAGGGAUAUUGGACAAACCACAAUACGGAUUAGAGUGACAGACAAAUGUUUUACUCAAAUCCCAUCGUGAUCAAUUACCUGGUGCCAACAAAUCCCAAACAUGAAACAAAUGAACAUGGCCUGAGGUGGUACGCUCUGAAAUUGUUACAAGCUUGAAGCUCAUCUCUCUCAAAUCACCGUACUCCCUACAUUCCACGGCCUAUGUGUCGAGGUGCCCACGAAUAAGGUGACUGGAUGAGAGGAGACGGGAAGGAGGGAGGGAGGGUUACCUCAGAGGCCAGUCUCGCCGUCAUACGCAGUGAGGGAGAACACGGGCGGCUGGAGGAGCAGCCAGAGGAGCAGGGGCGCUAGCUGAUGAGUUGCAGCCUUCCUAGCGCGGGCUUGCUGCUUCUCCCUUCUGCUCUGCCCGCAAAGCCAUCGCUCCCCUGUUCGUCGCCGCCUUCCCGCCGCACCCCUGUCUGCCGCCGCCUUCCCGACGUUGUCCGUCCGCCUUCCCGACGUUGUCCGUCCGCCUUCCAGCCUUCCUGCAAUCCUGCUCAACUAGAGGAGAUUGGAUGGUUGACUUGUAUCCCAGUUGGAGGGAGAGACCUAGAUAGAUCCGAAUAUGAAGGCGGAUGUUAAUCUGGAUUGAAGAAGAGAUGGACUUUGCGUGAUUUAAUUUUGCUUUGACGGUUAUCACACAGAUUUUCG
Molecule: long non-coding RNA, 5996 nt
Filed under: Hordeum vulgare
Lineage: Eukaryota; Viridiplantae; Streptophyta; Magnoliopsida; Poales; Poaceae
Description: long non-coding RNA (HVUL_LNC015996)
Source: RNAcentral